AUCCAAAUCCAUUUUAUAACCAAAACACCCAUUUCAUAAACCAAGAUCUCACAAUUCUUAUUCUUUACAAUCACUUCAAUCAAGUUCAAACUAUAACCAUAACCUUACCAUUCAUUCAAACUUUCAAACCUUCAUUCAAUAUAUCCAAUUCCAUUCAAUACAAUUCAAUGAACAUUCAGUACAUAAUCCCAAGUCACAGUUACAUGUGGGAUCCUAUUACAUAAACCAUUUCAAUUCACAUGUUCAAAACCACUGGUCAAUUCCAAAGUUACAAACAAUUUCACACAUAUUACAUAAACCAUUCAAAUUCAUGGAGCUCUUUGUCCAUUCAAUCUCAUUUUUCCCAAAUUUCCUGUAAUUUGAUUCCAUACCAUAUUACAUAAACCAUUCAAAUUUUCACUCACUUUCNAA
RNAcentral lists this long non-coding RNA (411 nucleotides) under Lathyrus oleraceus (garden pea). RNAcentral's name for it is "Pisum sativum (pea) long non-coding RNA (PSAT_LNC042278)". The record is from RNAcentral. Lineage: Eukaryota; Viridiplantae; Streptophyta; Magnoliopsida; Fabales; Fabaceae.